Molecule: ribosomal RNA, 468 nt
Filed under: uncultured bacterium
Lineage: Bacteria
Description: partial 16S ribosomal RNA
Rfam family: Bacterial small subunit ribosomal RNA
Source: RNAcentral
GACGAACGCUGGCGGCGUGCUUAACACAUGCAAGUCGAACGGAAAGGCGCUGCUUUUGUGGGGUGCUCGAGUGGCGAACGGGUGAGUAACACGUGAGUAACCUGCCCUUGACUUUGGGAUAACUUCAGGAAACUGGGGCUAAUACCGGAUAGGAGCUCCUGCUGCAUGGUGGGGGUUGGAAAGUUUCGGCGGUUGGGGAUGGACUCGCGGCUUAUCAGCUUGUUUGUGGGGUAGUGGUUUACCAAGGCUUUGACGGGUAGCCGGCCUGAGAGGGUGACCGGGCACAUUGGGACUGAGAUACGGCCCAGACUGCUACGGGAGGCAGAAGUGGGGAAUAUUGCACAAUGGGCGGAAGCCUGAUGCAGCAACGCCGCGUGCGGGAUGACGGGCUUCGGGUGGUAAACCGCUUUCGCCUGUGAUGAAGCGUGAGUGACGGUAAUGGGUAAAGAAGCACCGGCUAACUACGUG